UAAUACCGGAUAAUAUUUCGAACCGCAUGGUUCGAUAGUGAAAGAUGGCUUUGCUAUCACUUAUAGAUGGACCUGCGCCGUAUUAGCUAGUUGGUAAGGUAACGGCUUACCAAGGCAACGAUACGUAGCCGACCUGAGAGGGUGAUCGGCCACACUGGAACUGAGACACGGUCCAGACUCCUACGGGAGGCAGCAGUAGGGAAUCUUCCGCAAUGGGCGAAAGCCUGACGGAGCAACGCCGCGUGAGUGAUGAAGGUCUUCGGAUCGUAAAACUCUGUUAUUAGGGAAGAACAAACGUGUAAGUAACUGUGCACGUCUUGACGGUACCUAAUCAGAAAGCCACGGCUAACU
Molecule: ribosomal RNA, 351 nt
Filed under: uncultured bacterium
Lineage: Bacteria
Description: bacterial SSU rRNA
Rfam family: Bacterial small subunit ribosomal RNA
Source: RNAcentral